Molecule: non-coding RNA, 86 nt
Filed under: uncultured Nitzschia
Lineage: Eukaryota; Bacillariophyta; Bacillariophyceae; Bacillariales; Bacillariaceae
Source: RNAcentral
UGUUACAUGCAUUAUAUUUAUGCGUCUCUGUUUUUGUUUUUUUGUUUUGUUUCUUUUCUUAUGAACGUGUACAUAUUUUUGUGUAA